AGAGUUUGAUUAUGGCGUCAGGACGAACGCUGGCGGCGUGCUUAACACAUGCAAGUCGAGCGAUGAAGCUCCUUCGGAGUGGAUUAGCGGCGGACGGGUGAGUAACACGUGGGCAACCUGCCUUGUAGAGAGAAUAGCCAUUCGAAAGGAUGAUUAAUGCCUCAUAAUAUUGUAGCUUCGCAUGAAGCAACAACCAAAGGAGCAAUCCACUACAAGAGUGGGCCCGCGGCGCAGUUAGCUAGUUGGUGGGGUAACGGCUCACCGAAGGCGACGAUGCGUAGCCGACCUGAGAGGGUGAGUCGGCCACAGUUGGGACUGAGACACGGCCCAGACUCCUACGGGAGGCAGCAGUGGGGAAUAUUGCACAAUGGGGGAAACCCUGAUGCAAGCAACGCCGCGUGAGUGAUGACGGUCUUCGGAUUGUAAAGCUCUGUCUUCAGGGACGAUAAUGACGGUACCUGAGGAGGAAGCCACGGCUAACUACGUGCCAGCCGCCGC
Molecule: ribosomal RNA, 498 nt
Filed under: uncultured bacterium
Lineage: Bacteria
Description: bacterial SSU rRNA
Rfam family: Bacterial small subunit ribosomal RNA
Source: RNAcentral